Triticum aestivum (bread wheat) is the source of this 3451-nucleotide long non-coding RNA. RefSeq lists it as uncharacterized. The record is from RefSeq and is a predicted model, not a curated record. The transcript has 6 exons. NCBI's taxonomy places the organism in Eukaryota, Viridiplantae, Streptophyta, Magnoliopsida, Poales, Poaceae.
UAACGCAAAAAAUUAGAUGAACGAGGCUCCCUCCCUCCCUCGAACCCUAGCUACCCUCGUCUCCCCGCCUCCAGCCGCACCCGCCGCCGCACCCGAUCUGGCUCUCCACCUCACGACGACGCGGUUCUCCCGGCGAAGACCCCCCUCCUCAUGCCCUCUCCGACCUCCCUCUUCUCACGACACUCGCCCCUGCGCGCACGACCUCCCCCUCCUCCUCCUCCCGCGCCGUUCGCCGCCCCGCAAACUCCGGCAGAACUCCGGCAGCCGUUAUCCGCCCUUCGCCGCGGGAGCCGCUGUAGGAGCCGCUCGCCGCUGGAGCCGCCACCGGCAGAAGCCGCAGCCCGAGCAGCCGCGGGAGCCGCUCGCCGCUGCAGCCGCCGCCCGCGGGAGCCGCCGCGGGUCGCCGCUAUAGCUGGGGCCGCUGCGGGUCGCCCUUCGCCGCAGGUCACCGUCGGAGCCGCCCCACCCCUGGAUCCGCCCGCCGCCGGAGCCACCCGUCGCGCUCCCACUUAGCUUGGCCUCCGCCCCGCCGCCCCCGGUCCUCAAGCAACCUACUUCAAUUUUAGGUGAGCUGGCAAGGAUCACAAGCAUCGGUGUUGCAUUCCUGAAUCUCACAUACAUAAGUAAGUAAUAUUCUCCCUCACAUAAAGUCCUUUUAGUGCAUGUAUAGUGUUUUGCUCACUUUCUUUCUAGCUAGCUGCUGCAUUCAUUUCUUUCCGUGGCACCGUAUAAUUUAUACCUCGGAGAGGUCAUUUCAGUGCAUGAUGAUCUGGUGUAGCUACCAUUAGCUUUACUGGAGCAGAGCAACAUUUAAUAGGAAUUCCAUCAUAAAUAUUUACCCAGAUACAACAUUCUUCUCUGGAAUUUGAGUUUUUCCAGAAGGUUUAGGAUCUAAGGGUGAACUAUCAGUGGUACUGAUUAUACAACGAGUUUGUACAAAAUGUUCGCUGGUGUUGGGCGUUUACCUUUUAUCACUCCUAUAUCCCCUUAUUGUGUUUCUCUGUUUCUAGAAAGUAGGCCAUUUGUUCCAGGCUUUCAAGUUUAUGCCAUAACCUGAAGGAGAAAGAGUUCACUAUUGACCAGCAGUUAAAAGCAGGUUCAGUUUCUACCUCAUUUUCCAUCCCCACAGUAGCACUUCCUGUUAGUUCGAACAAUAUCUCAAUGCAUUAUUUACACACCUAGCUUGUGCUCUGUGACCAGAAUUGGUAAACUAUAGCCGUGAUAGUACUACACUGUAUUCAGAAAUAACACUGUAUUCAGAAAUAGCAGGAGGAGAUAAAGCUAGGUGUUGCAUAUAGGCCGAUGGUGAACCCUUUUAGAGCUGACCUUCCUUCAAAGUUGGAUAUCAUCUACAGUAACCUCACCGCAUCCAUAGAUCAACUGAACACACAAAAGGCACUUAAGAUCUUUACUGGUAUCCAGGAUGUGUUGUCUGAUCAUCUAAGCGAAUUGGCCCACUAUGCUAAGGAAUUAGGAUAGUUCAGUUACUUGAUCGGACUGUUUAGCAUGUAGAAAUUGGAAGCAGGCUUAGAAAAACACCACCAAGCUUGAAAGCAGAAAAAGAUGCACACACUCACCAUUAUUAUCUUCCUGUGAUAAUUUUAGGCUUGUACCAGGAAACUUGAAGAGGCAAUUUUAGUCGGUGGUGUGCUUUAAAAUUUCAUAUUGUUGUUCGAUGUUUCUCCAUAAUCGUUUCUUCUAUUUUUUUAGAAUUUUCUAGCAUAUGAACUAUCACAUGAAUUUUGCUGGCUCUGGUGGUGGCGCCGCCCAGGACGCCGGUGGCGGAGACAGAGGCAAUUUGUACUGGGACGUCGUGGCCGAGCCGCAAGACCUCCGCCUUGACGAGCUGCUGGACCGAUGCCUCGACGAGACACCGGACCUUGGCCUCCCUCUGGUUUUCAUGCUGGAACAGUUUUGUAGAGACAAAUUGGAAGAGUGCAGCUGCCCUGGCUCAUGGAAUUGGAAGAAUUUAUGCUUUUUUCUACUCAGAAAGGAAGCUAUUUUUUUCUGGAUCGUAGAUACAAAGGAUGCAACUUUGUCAGGGGUAGUAGAUACAAAGUUCAGUGUCUACAGCAUAUAAACUAGAAGCCGUGCUUCCGGUUUCAACAUAUAAACUUUUUUGGUCAUACAAUCUGAAAUUUUAGCAUUUCACAUAGACAACCUAUCAUUUGUGGUUCACCACAUUUACAUGCUCUGAUUCCCAUGCUCAUGUCAAUAAGUAUAUGACAGAAAUUUCAAAGUAUCGUGUUAGUUAGAAUUAUCACAUGGGUACCCAUUUUUCUCCAUGAAAAUACCUCAUGUAAUGCUAUGUUCCAUAUUUUCUACAUUAUGAUAAGUUCAUAAUUUAUAUAUUGUUUCAACAUUAUAUUUUUUACUGAGACAUGCAGCCCUAUAUUCUAUUUCUGCUUCAAUAUAUUCUCCCAUGUGCAUUCUAAUAGACAAUUGGCCCUCUUUUUUGUGAUAAUGAACUCCGUGAUUAAUGAUAGUCCUUGAUGAAAUGCCACUAAGUUAGUCUACUAUCUCAAGUCAGAUUCAAUAAUAAUUUAUUUUACAUUGCCAUCUUUCUUGAUUACAUACCAUGUCAUUGCAGAUGAUCUCAGGUAAUCAGAUCCAACACCAAAAUUCAAUUUGAGUUGCUUUUAAAUGCUUCUGGAAGGCAGAUGAUGUUGAUAUGAUACAUUGUAGUUUAUGUUUGGUAGGCUAUGAUAUUUUUUCCCUAAAAUGUCACAUUUCUUAAUUCCAAAAUUUAAUUGUUGUAGGCUGAACAUGAGCAUGUCUGUUUGUGGUGUUGAGGUAAAGCUCAGAUUGAUACACAGUAGAGCCAAGGGCAUGUCGUGGACCAACUAUAGCAAGCUGGGCAGCGUGUGCAGCUAGCUUCGGGAGUGAAAUGAGAUAAUACAGAGCAUGACAUGUGCCGAUAGCAUGAAAUUGGAGGAGCUGAAUUCUAUAUUGGUUCCUUGUUGACCUCUCACCCUGCUGAUGUAGUUCUGUAUUGUACAGGUGAUUGCACUUGUGGAAGGAUUAGCCCACCAGUGCUCAGACGGAACGUGCAUUCUAAGCCAGAUUCAGGUGCUCUGCUCCAGCCUUCAACAAGUCAAUCUUGUUUAGUACUAUGGAGUGCAAACUAUGCAGAUGAUGUUUGUGUUUAGAAGUUUCUACUAGGACACAUAUAACUCUUUGGGUGGGUCAGGUGCCCCCUUUCUCAUACAAUUGAGUCGUAUUCACUUUGAGUGUAACUUGUAGCCUUGUAAAUUAAAGAGAACAUGUGUUGAUUCCCUAGUUUAUAGCUGACCUUGCACGCCAAAGUUGGACAAGAUAUUAUUGAGCUAAAAUAUUCAAAUGCAAGGCUGAGGCUAAUAUUGUAGCUAUGCCCAAGGCUUUGAAUAAAAUAAUUUGGUGUGUUGCUCGAAUGUCAAUUUAGUGUGAAUAUACACCCCUUUUUCAAUGAGAA